AAUCUGUGUCCCACACUGUUGGUUCACCGCUCGCGGUGUCAACUGGCAGCUUGUGGUACGUCCUACCGGUGGGCUUAGCUCCUUCANGGGAACGGUCCAACUAAUAUCCCAUCGCGGUGCUCUUCAUCGAGUGUCGAGGUGGGCCGGUACGUUUACUUUGAACAAAUUAGAGUGUUUAAAGCAGGCUCUUCUCNCCUGAAUAAUGUGUGCAUGGAAUAAUGGRAUAGGACCUCGGUUCUAUUUWGUUGGUUUUCGGAACCCCGAGGUAAUGAUUAAUAGGGACAGAUGGGGGCAUUCGUAUUGCGACGUUAGA
Molecule: ribosomal RNA, 313 nt
Filed under: Gasteruption sp.
Lineage: Eukaryota; Metazoa; Arthropoda; Insecta; Hymenoptera; Gasteruptiidae
Description: SSU rRNA
Rfam family: Eukaryotic small subunit ribosomal RNA (bases 139-313)
Source: RNAcentral